CUCAUCUUGCUUGACUUAUCCAGGCUGAUGCCAUGGGUUGUACUUGUACUAGAAUGAGGUAACUUGGGUCUUACCCCCUCUUUCCAUGGGAAAGGAAAAGGCUUUGGGUUCAGAUCGGGUCUAAGACUGAGUUGUUAACACAACCCUUGAUGCACACAUUUUUUUUAAGAAAGAAUGUUUGUUUCAAGGCUUUGGUCUCAUCAAUCAAGAUCAUGGUAUGCUGAACCGGCCCGUACCGGCCGGUUCAGCACGUACCGUACCAGCCAGCGACCGGACG
Molecule: long non-coding RNA, 277 nt
Filed under: Phoenix dactylifera (date palm)
Lineage: Eukaryota; Viridiplantae; Streptophyta; Magnoliopsida; Arecales; Arecaceae
Description: long non-coding RNA (PDAC_LNC008237)
Source: RNAcentral